GAUCAUGGCUCAGGAUGAACGCUAGCUACAGGCUUAACACAUGCAAGUCGAGGGGAAACGACAUCGAAAGCUUGCUUUUUGAUGGGCGUCGACCGGCGCACGGGUGAGUAACGCGUAUCCAACCUGCCCACCACUUGGGGAUAACCUUGCGAAAGUAAGACUAAUACCCAAUGACAUCCCACGAAGACAUCUGAAAGAGAUUAAAGAUUUAUCGGUGAUGGAUGGGGAUGCGU
This 233-nucleotide ribosomal RNA is filed under the name uncultured bacterium. RNAcentral describes it as "partial 16S ribosomal RNA". It matches the Rfam family "Bacterial small subunit ribosomal RNA", at positions 15 to 236 of the family's 1533-position model. The record is from RNAcentral.